This 200-nucleotide ribosomal RNA is filed under the name uncultured bacterium. Its description in RNAcentral is "partial 16S ribosomal RNA". It matches the Rfam family "Bacterial small subunit ribosomal RNA", at positions 8 to 214 of the family's 1533-position model. The record is from RNAcentral.
AGAGUUUGAUCCUGGCUCAGGACGAACGCUGGCGGUGUGCUUAAGACAUGCAAGUCGAGCGGUCCCGCAAGGGACAGCGGCGGACGGGUGAGUAACACGUGGAUAACCUACCCGACUCCCCGGGAUAACCGGCCGAAAGGCCAGCUAAUACCGGGUAAGCUCACAUCACCGCAUGGUGGUGGGAGAAAAGGUCCUGCAAG